GCGGCAGGCCUAACACAUGCAAGUCGAGCGGUAGCACAGAGAGCUUGCUCUCGGGUGACGAGCGGCGGACGGGUGAGUAAUGUCUGGGAAACUGCCUGAUGGAGGGGGAUAACUACUGGAAACGGUAGCUAAUACCGCAUAACGUCGCAAGACCAAAGUGGGGGACCUUCGGGCCUCAUGCCAUCAGAUGUGCCCAGAUGGGAUUAGCUAGUAGGUGGGGUAACGGCUCACCUAGGCGACGAUCCCUAGCUGGUCUGAGAGGAUGACCAGCCACACUGGAACUGAGACACGGUCCAGACUCCUACGGGAGGCAGCAGUGGGGAAUAUUGCACAAUGGGCGCAAGCCUGAUGCAGCCAUGCCGCGUGUGUGAAGAAGGCCUUCGGGUUGUAAAGCACUUUCAGCGGGGAGGAAGGCGUUAAGGUUAAUAACCUUGGCGAUUGACGUUACCCGCAGAAGAAGCACCGGCUAACUCCGUGCCAGCAGCCGCGGUAAUACGGAGGGUGCAAGCGUUAAUCGGAAUUACUGGGCGUAAAGCGCACGCAGGCGGUCUGUCAAGUCGGAUGUGAAAUCCCCGGGCUCAACCUGGGAACUGCAUUCGAAACUGGCAGGCUAGAGUCUUGUAGAGGGGGGUAGAAUUCCAGGUGUAGCGGUGAAAUGCGUAGAGAUCUGGAGGAAUACCGGUGGCGAAGGCGGCCCCCUGGACAAAGACUGACGCUCAGGUGCGAAAGCGUGGGGAGCAAACAGGAUUAGAUACCCUGGUAGUCCACGCCGUAAACGAUGUCGAUUUGGAGGUUGUGCCCUUGAGGCGUGGCUUCCGGAGCUAACGCGUUAAAUCGACCGCCUGGGGAGUACGGCCGCAAGGUUAAAACUCAAAUGAAUUGACGGGGGCCCGCACAAGCGGUGGAGCAUGUGGUUUAAUUCGAUGCAACGCGAAGAACCUUACCUGGUCUUGACAUCCACAGAACUUUCCAGAGAUGGAUUGGUGCCUUCGGGAACUGUGAGACAGGUGCUGCAUGGCUGUCGUCAGCUCGUGUUGUGAAAUGUUGGGUUAAGUCCCGCAACGAGCGCAACCCUUAUCCUUUGUUGCCAGCGGUUCGGCCGGGAACUCAAAGGAGACUGCCAGUGAUAAACUGGAGGAAGGUGGGGAUGACGUCAAGUCAUCAUGGCCCUUACGACCAGGGCUACACACGUGCUACAAUGGCAUAUACAAAGAGAAGCGACCUCGCGAGAGCAAGCGGACCUCAUAAAGUAUGUCGUAGUCCGGAUUGGAGUCUGCAACUCGACUCCAUGAAGUCGGAAUCGCUAGUAAUCGUAGAUCAGAAUGCUACGGUGAAUACGUUCCCGGGCCUUGUACACACCGCCCGUCACACCAUGGGAGUGGGUUGCAAAAGAAGUAGGUAGCUUAACCUUCGGGAGGGCGCUUACCACUUUGUGAUUCAUGACUGGGGUG
RNAcentral lists this ribosomal RNA (1451 nucleotides) under uncultured organism. RNAcentral describes it as "SSU rRNA". It matches the Rfam family "Bacterial small subunit ribosomal RNA". The record is from RNAcentral.